RNAcentral lists this small nuclear RNA (115 nucleotides) under Gopherus evgoodei (Goodes thornscrub tortoise). RNAcentral describes it as "U5 spliceosomal RNA (ENSGEVG00005017310.1)". It matches the Rfam family "U5 spliceosomal RNA". Rfam says of the family: U5 RNA is a component of both types of known spliceosome. The record is from Rfam by way of RNAcentral. Lineage: Eukaryota; Metazoa; Chordata; Testudines; Testudinidae.
UUUCUCUCCCCUUCCCAGUUUGUAUAAAUCUUUUGCCUUUUACUAAAGAUUUUUGUGGAGAGGAGCAUUUAUGAGUUUGUACCCAAUUUUUUUGAGGUUUUGUUUUGGUAAGACU